AACGAACGCUGGCGGCAUGCCUAACACAUGCAAGUCGAACGAGACCUUCGGGUCUAGUGGCGCACGGGUGCGUAACGCGUGGGAAUCUGCCCUUAGGUUCGGAAUAACAGUUAGAAAUGACUGCUAAUACCGGAUGAUGACUUCGGUCCAAAGAUUUAUCGCCUAAGGAUGAGCCCGCGUAGGAUUAGCUAGUUGGUGAGGUAAAGGACUCACCAAGGCUACGAUCCUUAGCUGGUCUGAGAGGAUGAUCAGCCACACUGGGACUGAGACACGGCCCAGACUCCUACGGGAGGCAGCAGUGGGGAAUAUUGGACAAUGGGCGAAAGCCUGAUCCAGCAAUGCCGCGUGAGUGAUGAAGGCCUUAGGGUUGUAAAGCUCUUUUACCCGGGAUGAUAAUGACAGUACCGGGAGAAUAAGCUCCGGCUAACUCCGUGCCAGCA
RNAcentral lists this ribosomal RNA (440 nucleotides) under uncultured bacterium. Its description in RNAcentral is "bacterial SSU rRNA". It matches the Rfam family "Bacterial small subunit ribosomal RNA", at positions 29 to 513 of the family's 1533-position model. The record is from RNAcentral.